CUAGUAACACACACUGGUAGUUCAGUCAGUGUGUGUUAUAAUUUAAGAAACAACAAGUACUGCUCUUCCACAAUUGUUUCAUCUUCACUGACACUUCUGACAAGUAAAUCAAACAUUUAUAAAGGUUCACAAUGCAUCAACCAUCCAGCACUACCAUCAACACCAUCAUUGUAGCAACACUGUUGGUACCAUGGUCUUACUAGCAUCACUGUGGCAUCUGGUGAUGCUCUGCAAGAUUCCAAGUCCGUGAAGGAAAAUGGUAGUUUGUCAAGCCACCAGGAAUCCCUAAGUCAAGACACCAUCUACUGCCGGCACAUGGCAUCAAUGAUAGCAUGUGACUACAAGUGGCAAAAACAGGAGGUAUCACUGGCUGGUGAUUCUGCGGGAGACGAGGUAACCCAGGUCAUCCUCCAACACAUCCGUCAUCUCAUCCUCAAAACCUCGAAGUGUUAUGACCUGAGUCUUACCCACGUAGCUGAUGCUAGAGUAGAUUGUCAACUAGACCACUGCUUGCUCCAGGAAGGUCUAUU
Molecule: non-coding RNA, 530 nt
Organism: Cherax quadricarinatus
Lineage: Eukaryota; Metazoa; Arthropoda; Malacostraca; Decapoda; Parastacidae
Source: RefSeq, a predicted model, not a curated record